GCUGGCUGUUGCUCUGGUGGGCAGAGCUCAGUAAAACUUCAAUCCACUUGUCUGCUGAUAGGUGGGGCUGGCUUCCCUCCCUGUUGUUUGUUUGGCCUGAGGCGACCCAACACUGGAGCCUACCCGGGCUCUUUCGUGGGGCUAAUGGUAGACUUCAGGAGGCCUCAUGCCAAGGAGUACUUCCCAGAACUGCUGCCAGUGUCCUUGUCCUCACGGUGAGACACAGCCACCCCCCACCUCUGCAGGAGACCCUCCAACACUCGCAGCUUCUCCUUUGUCUUUGGAUGUGGGGUAUCUUUUUUGGUGAGUUCCAGUGUCUUCCUGUCGAUGAUUGUUCAGCAGUUAAUUGUAAUUCUUGUGCUCUCGCAAGAGAGAUUGAGAGCACGUCCCUCUACUCUGCCAUCUUGAACCAAAAACCUCAACAUUUCUAAAAUUAAGAAAACAGCUGAUCACUUUCGCUUGUGGAAACCACCGGGCUCUGGUUCCUGCCCCUUCAUUUUGUCCUGGUUGUCUGUGGAGACUCAGAGGAUGUUGAUACGGCACCUCAACUAUGGAGGCGAAGAGAACGUGCCAGAAGGUCCUCUUCCUCUUGUGCCAGCUCCUCCUCCCAAGUCUCUUCAAAAGUCAAGGCAUCUGGAACUUCCCUGGCGGUCCAGUGGUUAAGACUUUGCCUUCCAAUGCAGGGGGUGCGGGUUUGAUCCCCGGUUGGGGAGCUAAGAUCCGACAUGCCUUGCGGCCAAAAAACCAAAACAUAAAAACAGAAGCAAUAUUGCAACACAUUCAAUAAA
Orcinus orca (killer whale) is the source of this 788-nucleotide long non-coding RNA. RefSeq lists it as uncharacterized. Lineage: Eukaryota; Metazoa; Chordata; Mammalia; Artiodactyla; Delphinidae. The record is from RefSeq and is a predicted model, not a curated record. The transcript is spliced from 3 exons.